RNAcentral lists this ribosomal RNA (254 nucleotides) under uncultured bacterium. RNAcentral's name for it is "partial 16S ribosomal RNA". It matches the Rfam family "Bacterial small subunit ribosomal RNA", at positions 524 to 776 of the family's 1533-position model. The record is from RNAcentral.
UACGUAGGGUGCGAGCGUUAAUCGGAAUUACUGGGCGUAAAGGGCGCGUAGGCGGCAAUUCAAGUCAUCUGUGAAAUCUCCGGGCUUAACCCGGAACGGUCAGAUGAUACUGCUUUGCUAGAGUGCGGAAGGGGCAAUCGGAAUUCUUGGUGUAGCGGUGAAAUGCGUAGAUAUCAAGAGGAACACCUGAGGUGAAGACGGGUUGCUGGGCCGACACUGACGCUGAUAGCGCGAAAGCCAGGGGAGCAAACGGG